GACGAACGCUGGCGGCGUGCCUAAUACAUGCAAGUUGAGCGAUGAAGAUUGGUGCUUGCACCAAUUUGAAGAGCAGCGAACGGGUGAGUAACGCGUGGGGAAUCUGCCUUUGAGCGGGGGACAACAUUUGGAAACGAAUGCUAAUACCGCAUAAUAACUUUAAACAUAAGUUUUAAGUUUGAAAGAUGCAAUUGCAUCACUCAAAGAUGAUCCCGCGUUGUAUUAGCUAGUUGGUGAGGUAAAGGCUCACCAAGGCGAUGAUACAUAGCCGACCUGAGAGGGUGGUCGGCCACAUUGGGACUGAGACACGGCCCAAACUCCUACGGGAGGCAGCAGUAGGGAAUCUUCGGCAAUGGACGAAAGUCUGACCGAGCAACGCCGCGUGAGUGAAGAAGGUUUUCGGAUCGUAAAACUCUGUUGGUAGAGAAGAACGUUGGUGAGAGUGGAAAGCUCAUCAAGUGACGGUAACUACCCAGAAAGGGACGGCUAACUACGUG
Molecule: ribosomal RNA, 497 nt
Filed under: uncultured bacterium
Lineage: Bacteria
Description: partial 16S ribosomal RNA
Rfam family: Bacterial small subunit ribosomal RNA
Source: RNAcentral